CCCAGAUACAGUGAUCUUACUGUGAUGUCCAAUUAAUCUUUUUUUUUUUUUUCGAUAAUCGUGGUAUAGGCGGCUCGGCUCGACUACAAAAUGUUAGUGAAGUUCGAACCAAUAAUCAUGAGAUUGUCAAUUCCUUAGGUUAAUCUUUGACAUAAGUUUUUUUCUUUAAUGAAGAGAUAUAUGUACAGUACAGGGCUAAAGACAAACUGUGUAAGAGUCUUACUAGGGAAAAAUUUGGACCCAAAUUUGUAUUUACUGAUUUUGGACCCAAUUUGAUUUUACUAAUUGGGAGUUAGCUAGA
This 301-nucleotide long non-coding RNA is filed under the name Salvia miltiorrhiza (redroot sage). RNAcentral's name for it is "long non-coding RNA (SMIL_LNC007735)". Lineage: Eukaryota; Viridiplantae; Streptophyta; Magnoliopsida; Lamiales; Lamiaceae. The record is from RNAcentral.